RNAcentral lists this transfer RNA (61 nucleotides) under Trioza erytreae. RNAcentral's name for it is "tRNA-Leu". The record is from RNAcentral. Lineage: Eukaryota; Metazoa; Arthropoda; Insecta; Hemiptera; Triozidae.
CUAAUAUGGCAGAAAAAUGCCUUAGAUUUAAAAUUUAAUUAUGAAAUACUUCUUUUAGUAA